GCCCGGCCGGCUCAGUCGGUAGAGCAUGUGACUCCUGACCUCAAGGUUGUGAGUUCAAGCCCCACGCUGGGCA
Molecule: non-coding RNA, 73 nt
Organism: Hyaena hyaena (striped hyena)
Lineage: Eukaryota; Metazoa; Chordata; Mammalia; Carnivora; Hyaenidae
Source: the annotation of a RefSeq genome assembly